CGAGCAGACUAAGGUUUUAUUUUAAACCCGAACGAACCAACGAAGAAUGGAAGAAGAAGAAUUCACCGCAGAACAGUCAUCAGUGUUAUUAAAAACUAGCUCUGGCUACUUGAUGUGGUCUUAUUCUACAAAAUGCAUGCUUAAAAGUA
Bradysia coprophila is the source of this 149-nucleotide long non-coding RNA. The record is from RefSeq and is a predicted model, not a curated record. NCBI's taxonomy places the organism in Eukaryota, Metazoa, Arthropoda, Insecta, Diptera, Sciaridae.